AGCACGGGAGCAAUCCUGGUGGCGAGUGGCGAACGGGUGAGUAAUGUAUCGGAACGUACCUUUCAGUGGGGGAUAACGUAGCGAAAGUUACGCUAAUACCGCAUAUUCUGUGAGCAGGAAAGCAGGGGAUCGCAAGACCUUGCGCUGAUUGAGCGGCCGAUAUCAGAUUAGCUAGUUGGUGAGGUAAAGGCUCACCAAGGCGACGAUCUGUAGCGGGUCUGAGAGGAUGAUCCGCCACACUGGAACUGAGACACGGUCCAGACUCCUACGGGAGGCAGCAGUGGGGAAUUUUGGACAAUGGGCGCAAGCCUGAUCCAGCCAUGCCGCGUGAGUGAAGAAGGCCUUCGGGUUGUAAAGCUCUUUCAGCCGGGAAGAAAACGCAUGGGUUAAUACCCUGUGUGGAUGACGGUACCGGAAUAAGAAGCACCGGCUAACUACGUGCCAGCAGCCGCGGUAAUACGUAGGGUGCGAGCGUUAAUCGGAAUUACUGGGCGUAAAGCGUGCGCAGGCGGUUUGUUAAGAUAGGCGUGAAAUCCCCGGGCUCAACCUGGGAACUGCGUUUAUGACUGGCAGGCUAGAGUAUGGCAGAGGGGGGUGGAAUUCCACGUGUAGCAGUGAAAUGCGUAGAGAUGUGGAGGAACACCGAUGGCGAAGGCAGCCCCCUGGGCCAAUACUGACGCUCAUGCACGAAAGCGUGGGUAGCAAACAGGAUUAGAUACCCUGGUAGUCCACGCCCUAAACGAUGUCAACUAGGUGUUGGGUGGGUAAAACCAUUUAGUACCG
Molecule: ribosomal RNA, 783 nt
Filed under: uncultured bacterium
Lineage: Bacteria
Description: bacterial SSU rRNA
Rfam family: Bacterial small subunit ribosomal RNA
Source: RNAcentral